GGUUAAGUGACUAAGCGUACACGGUGGAUGCCUUGGCAGUUGGAGGCGACGAAGGACGUACUAACUUGCGAUAAGCCUAGUCAAGCCAGUAAGAGGCGCUUGAGACUAGGAUUUCCGAAUGGGGAAACCCGGCCCUUUGGGUCAUCAUGCAGUGAAUACAUAGCUGUAUGAAGCGAACGCGGAGAACUGAAACAUCUAAGUACCCGUAGGAAAAGAAAUCAACCGAGAUUCCGAAAGUAGCGGCGAGCGAAAUCGGAUUAGCCCUUAAGCUUUAAUGUAGUUAGUGGAACAUUCUGGAAAGUAUGACGAUACAGGGUGACAGUCCCGUACACGACAACUUAUUUAAAGUGAAAUCGAGUAGGUCGGAGCACGUGAAACUUUGACUGAAUAUGGGGGGACCAUCCUCCAAGGCUAAAUACUCCCAACUGACCGAUAGUGAACCAGUACCGUGAGGGAAAGGCGAAAAGAACCCCUGUGAGGGGAGUGAAAUAGAACCUGAAACCGUGUACGUACAAGCAGUAGGAGCCCAUCACCAAAGUGUCUUUCUUGACGUUUUUACCUCGGUAAGAGCGCGGGAUUUUCAAACAAGGUUGCACGGUUUUUUUGACCCGUAUCGCAGUGUACAUUCAAAGUACAUGAGAAACGGAAGCAAAAAAAGCGAUGCAAGAUUGACAGAAAAUACAAGCGGAAGAUAUUUCGGGAUGGGUGACUGCGUACCUUUUGUAUAAUGGGUCAGCGACUUAUAUUCUGUAGCAAGGUUAACCAUUUAGGGGAGCCGUAGCGAAAGCGAGUCUUAACUGGGCGCUUAAGUUGCAGGGUAUAGACCCGAAACCCGGUGAUCUAGCCAUGGGCAGGUUGAAGGUCAGGUAACACUGACUGGAGGACCGAACCCACUAACGUUGAAAAGUUAGGGGAUGACCUGUGGCUAGGAGUGAAAGGCUAAUCAAACCGGGAGAUAGCUGGUUCUCCCCGAAAUCUAUUUAGGUAGAGCCUCGGACGAAUACUUACGGGGGUAGAGCACUGUUAAGGCUAGGGGGUCAUCCCGACUUACCAACCCUUUGCAAACUCCGAAUACCGUAAAGUACUAUCCGGGAGACACACGGUGGGUGCUAACGUCCAUCGUGGAGAGGGAAACAACCCAGACCGUCAGCUAAGGUCCCAAAGUGUAUGUUAAGUGGGAAACGAUGUGGGAAGGCUAAAACAGCUAGGAGGUUGGCUUAGAAGCAGCCAUCCUUUAAAGAAAGCGUAAUAGCUCACUAGUCGAGUCGGCCUGCGCGGAAGAUGUAACGGGGCUAAACAUACCACCGAAGCUACGGCUGCGAACUUAUGUUCGCGGGGUAGGGGAGCGUUCUGUAAGUGGCUGAAGGUGUGCCGGGAGGCAUGCUGGACAUAUCAGAAGUGCGAAUGCUGACAUGAGUAACGAUAAUGCGGGUGAAAAACCCGCACGCCGGAAGACCAAGGGUUCCUAUCCCAUGUUAAUCAGGGUAGGGUGAGUCGACCCCUAAGGCGAGGCUGAAGAGCGUAGUCGAUGGGAAACGGGUUAAUAUUCCCGUACUUGGUAUAAAUGCGAUGGGGGGACGGAGCAGGCUAGGCAAGCAUGGCGUUGGUUGUCCAUGUGAAAGGCUGUAGGCUGGUGACUUAGGUAAAUCCGGGUCGCUAAGGCUGAGAGUCGAGACGAGCCACUACGGUGGUGAAGUUGUUGAUGCCCUACUUCCAGGAAAAGCCUCUAAGCUUCAGUUUAUAUCGAAUCGUACCCUAAACCGACACAGGUGGUCAAGUAGAGAAUACUAAGGCGCUUGAGAGAACUCGGGUGAAGGAACUAGGCAAAAUUGUACCGUAACUUCGGGAGAAGGUACGCUCUUACUUGUGAAGACUUCGCGUCGUAAGCAGGCGAGAGCCGCAGUGACCAGGUGGCUGGGACUGUUUAUUAAAAACACAGCACUGUGCAAAAUCGUAAGAUGACGUAUACGGUGUGACACCUGCCCGGUGCCGGAAGGUUAAUUGAUGGGGUUAGACUUAGGUCGAAGCUCUUGAUCGAAGCCCCGGUAAACGGCGGCCGUAACUAUAACGGUCCUAAGGUAGCGAAAUUCCUUGUCGGGUAAGUUCCGACCUGCACGAAUGGUGUAACCAUGGCCACGCUGUCUCCACCCGAGACUCAGUGAAAUUGAAAUCGCAGUGAAGAUGCUGUGUACCCGCGGCUAGACGGAAAGACCCCGUGAACCUUUACUACAGCUUGGCACUGAACAUUGACCCUACAUGUGUAGGAUAGGUGGGAGGCUUUGAAGCGCAGACGCUAGUUUGUGUGGAGCCGACCUUGAAAUACCACCCUUGUAGUGUUGAUGUUCUAACUUAGGCCCCUAAUCGGGGUUGAGGACAGUGCCUGGUGGGUAGUUUGACUGGGGCGGUCUCCUCCCAAAGAGUAACGGAGGAGCACGAAGGUUGGCUAAGUACGGUCGGACAUCGUACGGUUAGUGUAAUGGUAGAAGCCAGCUUAACUGCGAGACAGACACGUCGAGCAGGUACGAAAGUAGGUCAUAGUGAUCCGGUGGUUCUGAAUGGAAGGGCCAUCGCUCAACGGAUAAAAGGUACUCCGGGGAUAACAGGCUGAUACCGCCCAAGAGUUCAUAUCGACGGCGGUGUUUGGCACCUCGAUGUCGGCUCAUCACAUCCUGGGGCUGAAGUCGGUCCCAAGGGUAUGGCUGUUCGCCAUUUAAAGUGGUACGCGAGCUGGGUUUAGAACGUCGUGAGACAGUUCGGUCCCUAUCUGCCGUGGGCGUUUGAGAAUUGAGAGGGGCUGCUCCUAGUACGAGAGGACCGGAGUGGACGAACCGCUGGUGUUCGGGUUGUCAUGCCAAUGGCAUUGCCCGGUAGCUACGUUCGGAAUCGAUAACCGCUGAAAGCAUCUAAGCGGGAAGCGAGCCUCGAGAUGAGUUCUCACUUGGACUUUGAGUCCACUAAAGGGCCGUUGAAGACUACAACGUUGAUAGGCGAGAUGUGGAAGUGGUGUGAGCCAUUAAGCUAACUCGUACUAAUUACCCGUGAGGCUUAACCAU
Molecule: ribosomal RNA, 3053 nt
Filed under: Pseudoalteromonas viridis
Lineage: Bacteria; Pseudomonadati; Pseudomonadota; Gammaproteobacteria; Alteromonadales; Pseudoalteromonadaceae
Description: 23S ribosomal RNA
Rfam family: Bacterial large subunit ribosomal RNA
Source: RNAcentral